RNAcentral lists this ribosomal RNA (1420 nucleotides) under uncultured prokaryote. RNAcentral's name for it is "partial 16S ribosomal RNA". It matches the Rfam family "Bacterial small subunit ribosomal RNA". The record is from RNAcentral.
GUUUGAUCAUGGCUCAGAACGAACGCUGGCGGCAUGCCUAACACAUGCAAGUCGAACGCCCCGCAUGGAGAGUGGCGCACGGGUGAGUAACGCGUGGGUAUCUGCCCUGGAGUGGGGGACAACCGCUGGAAACGGCGGCUAAUACCGCAUACGCCCUUAGGGGGAAAGAUUUAUCGCUGUUGGAGGGGCCCGCGUCGGAUUAGCUUGUUGGUGAGGUAACGGCUCACCAAGGCGACGAUCCGUAGCUGGUCUGAGAGGAUGAUCAGCCACACUGGGACUUAGACACGGCCCAGACUCCUACGGGAGGCAGCAGUGGGGAAUAUUGGACAAUGGGCGAAAGCCUGAUCCAGCAAUGCCGCGUGAGUGAAGAAGGCCUUAGGGUUGUAAAACUCUUUCACCGGGGAAGAUGAUGACGGUACCCGGAGAAGAAGCUCCGGCCAACUCCGUGCCAGCAGCCGCGGUAAUACGGAGGGGGCUAGCGUUGUUCGGAAUUACUGGGCGUAAAGCGCACGUAGGCGGUUUGCCAAGUCAGGCGUGAAAGCCCCGGGCUUAACCCGGGAACUGCGCUCAAAACUGGACGACUAGAGUCCGGGAGAGGGUGGUGGAAUUCCCAGUGUAGAGGUGAAAUUCGUUGAUUUGGUAGAAACACAGGGGCGAGGCGGCUCACUGUUCCGCACCUGAGCGUAGGCCGGAAGCUGGGAGCAACAGAAUUAGAUACCUGUAGUCACGCCGUAAUCGAUGAGUGCUAGACGUGGGAAACUCCAGUUUCUUGGUGUCGCAGCUACGCAUGAGCACUCCGCCUGGGAGUACGACCGCAGUUAAAACUCAAUGAUGACGGGGCCCGCACAAGCGGUGGAGCAUGUGUUUAAUCAAGCAACGCGCAGAACCUUACCAGCCCUUGACAUGGGCGUCGCGGACCUGAGAGAUCGGGUCCUUCAGUUCGGCUGGACGCCACACAGGUGCUGCAUGGCUGUCGUCAGCUCGUGUCGUGAGAUGUUGGGUUAAGUCCCGCAACGAGCGCAACCCUCGCCCUUAGUUGCCAUCGGUUCGGCCGGGCACUUCUAGGGGAACUGCCGGUGACAAGCCGGAGGAAGGCGGGGAUGACGUCAAGUCCUCAUGGCCCUUAUGGGCUGGGCUACACACGUGCUACAAUGGCGGUGACAGUGGGUCGCGAAGGGGCAACCUGGAGCUAAUCCCCAAAAGCCGUCUCAGUUCGGAUUGUCCUCUGCAACUCGAGGGCAUGAAGGUGGAAUCGCUAGUAAUCGUGGAUCAGCAUGCCACGGUGAAUACGUUCCCGGGCCUUGUACACACCGCCCGUCACACCAUGGGAGUUGGUUUUACCCGAAGCCGGUGCGCUAACCGCAAGGAGGCAGCCGACCACGGUAAGGUCAGCGACUGGGGUGAAGUCGUAACAAGGUAA